This 253-nucleotide ribosomal RNA is filed under the name uncultured bacterium. RNAcentral describes it as "partial 16S ribosomal RNA". It matches the Rfam family "Bacterial small subunit ribosomal RNA", at positions 524 to 776 of the family's 1533-position model. The record is from RNAcentral.
UACGUAUGGUGCAAGCGUUAUCCGGAUUUACUGGGCGUAAAGGGAGCGCAGGCGGCGCGCCAAGUCUAAUGUGAAACCCCGGGGCUCAACCCCGGGCAUGCAUUGGAAACUGGCGGGCUGGAGUGCCGGAGAGGUAAGCGGAAUUCCUAGUGUAGCGGUGAAAUGCGUAGAUAUUAGGAGGAACACCAGUGGCGAAGGCGGCUUACUGGACGGCAACUGACGCUGGGGCUCGAAAGCGUGGGGAGCAAACAGG